UCGGUAGGGCCCUGCAUCACCU
This 22-nucleotide unclassified non-coding RNA is filed under the name Mus musculus (house mouse). Its description in RNAcentral is "oocyte_clustered_small_RNA5631". Lineage: Eukaryota; Metazoa; Chordata; Mammalia; Rodentia; Muridae. The record is from RNAcentral.